RNAcentral lists this ribosomal RNA (496 nucleotides) under uncultured bacterium. Its description in RNAcentral is "partial 16S ribosomal RNA". It matches the Rfam family "Bacterial small subunit ribosomal RNA", at positions 29 to 507 of the family's 1533-position model. The record is from RNAcentral.
AUGAACGCUGGCGGCGUGCCUAAUACAUGCCAGUCGAGCGAACGGACGAGAAGCUUGCUUCUCUGAUGUUAGCGGCGGACGGGUGAGUAACACGUGGAUAACCUACCUAUAAGACUGGGAUAACUUCGGGAAACCGGAGCUAAUACCGGAUAAUAUUUUGAACCGCAUGGUUCAAAAGUGAAAGACGGUCUUGCUGUCACUUAUAGAUGGAUCCGCGCUGCAUUAGCUAGUUGGUAAGGUAACGGCUUACCAAGGCAACGAUGCAUAGCCGACCUGAGAGGGUGAUCGGCCACACUGGAACUGAGACACGGUCCAGACUCCUACGGGAGGCAGCAGUAGGGAAUCUUCCGCAAUGGGCGAAGGCCUGACGGAGCAACGCCGCGUGAGUGAUGAAGGUCUUCGGAUCGUAAAACUCUGUUAUUAGGGAAGAACAUAUGUGUAAGUAACUGUGCACAUCUUGACGGUACCUAAUCAGAAAGCCACGGCUAACUACGUG